CUGUUGAUGCUAGAGAAAGGCAGCAAAUCAGUUACGAGAUAGAGAGAGGAAGAGAGCCUCCAUCGAGGCUCCGGUAACGUAUCCGGGUCAUGAAACGCAUCAAUAGAUGGUACCGAGGAUGGCGAUCCUCGUGGUGAUGUUCGUUUCGCUAAUUGUAAAGCGUGUUGGUUCAAUCGACAUCACACCGUUGGCUAGGGUUCAUAACUCGAGGGGGAUAAUAACGCUGGUAUCGGUGGUGUUUGUUCAACCGAUUAUGGUUCGAUUGACACCACACACCGUCGGCUAGGGUUCAUAGGUUGACAUCUGAGGUCCAAGUGAUGGUUGCUCCGACGAAGGGUGAACCAAUUUGAGGCAAUCCUCGAUUGUUAAGGGACUGUGACGGUGGUUCUCGGUGACUAGACGACUUGAACCACCAGAGGCUUAAGAACCGUUUGUGUGGAAAAAUGAUCAUUGCAUUCUGCUAUCUACGAAUCGUUUCUGUAGCUGCGCCGCAGCUGGGGGUUUUCGGCAGUGGCGAAGGUAUGGCGAUGAGGAAACACCGAAAAUUGAUAGGCUGAUUGAUGGAGAUUUGGGCAAAAACACGAUAAAUGGAAUCCAUUGACGUGGUGAUUAGAUCUGUGGCUUUGAUUACGAGGAAUGGGUUUGAAUGCUAGGGAACAAAAUUCUUAUUUGGAUUUGUGAGGCAUAGAUAGUUAUCAUCUUCCCCUGAAGCAAUUUCUUAUUUCCUCGAUUCGUUAUCUACGCGUUCUUGAAUCGGAUAGGAACACUACAAAGGAUUUCAAGAAAACUAGAAUUGUGCCUAGAAGCAUCGAAAUAGAGGUGAGGAACUUAGCAAAUUUAAUCCUCUAAAGGCACAGAAAGAGGCUGAGCCGUUUGUCUCUAUGAAAUUCUGGACUAUAAAGUGGCUUCACACUUCGCUCGCCUCCCUUCCGGUCGCCUUUGAGGUUUGUAUAAAUGAGGGGAAGGGUUAUUUUGUGUAGACAUUAACCUGUCUUGAAUCUGCUUUCUUAGUUUUAUUUGACUACCUUUGUAUACCUUUAAACAGAUUGUCCAUAAGUGUUUUGGCAUAAUGUUUUAAUACUUUCUAGCCUGUAUUUAAAGUUGUAUUGAUUAUCUCA
Molecule: long non-coding RNA, 1118 nt
Organism: Helianthus annuus (common sunflower)
Lineage: Eukaryota; Viridiplantae; Streptophyta; Magnoliopsida; Asterales; Asteraceae
Exons: 4
Source: RefSeq, a predicted model, not a curated record